GGACAGGUGUCUGAGCGGUCGAAAGAGACGGUCUUGAAAACCGUUGAACGCAAGUUCCGCGGGUUCGAAUCCCGCCCUGUCCGCAA
RNAcentral lists this transfer RNA (86 nucleotides) under Bifidobacterium actinocoloniiforme DSM 22766. RNAcentral describes it as "tRNA-Ser". It matches the Rfam family "tRNA". Rfam says of the family: Transfer RNA (tRNA) molecules are approximately 80 nucleotides in length. Their secondary structure includes four short double-helical elements and three loops (D, anti-codon, and T loops). The record is from RNAcentral. Lineage: Bacteria; Bacillati; Actinomycetota; Actinomycetes; Bifidobacteriales; Bifidobacteriaceae.